Molecule: ribosomal RNA, 1245 nt
Filed under: metagenome
Description: bacterial LSU rRNA
Rfam family: Bacterial large subunit ribosomal RNA
Source: RNAcentral
UGAAUACGAGACGCUAAGGCGUCGAAGUAGUGUAUAUCAGACUUCCAAGAAAAGCUUGCACUGUCAUAGAUAAAAAAUGCCUGUACCAUAACCGACACAGGUGGGUAGGUAGAGUAUACUAAGGGGCGCGAGAUAACUCUCUCUAAGGAACUCGGCAAAAUAACUCCGUAACUUCGGGAGAAGGAGUGCCUUAUUUAUAAGGUUGCAAUAACAAGAUCCAAGCAACUGUUUAUCAAAAACACAGGUCUCCGCUAAGUCGUAAGACGAUGUAUGGGGGCUGACGCCUGCCCAGUGCCAGAAGGUUAAAGAAGUUGGUUAGCAAUUGCGAAGCUGAUAACUGAAGCCCUGGUGAACGGCGGCCGUAACUAUAACGGUCCUAAGGUAGCGAAAUUCCUUGUCGGGUAAGUUCCGACCCGCACGAAAGGCGUAAUGAUUUGGAUACUGUCUCGGAGAGGGGCUCGGUGAAAUAGACUUGUCUGUGAAGAUGCGGACUACCUGCACCAGGACAGAAAGACCCUAUGAAGCUUUACUGUAACUUGAAAUUGAAAUUGGACUUUAUUCGCGCAGCAUAGGUGGGAGGCGUUGAUUAUAAUCUUGCGGGAUUAUUGGAGCCAUCAGUGAGAUACCACUCUUGUAAUGUUAGAUUUCUAACUUUGAAUCAUUAUCUGGUCAAAGAACAGUUUCAGGCGGGCAGUUUGACUGGGGCGGUCGCCUCCUAAGUGGUAACGGAGGCGUACAAAGGUUUCCUCUGAACGGUUAGAAAUCGUAUCUAGAGUGUAAAGGCAUAAGGAAGCUUGACUGUGAGACCUACAAGUCGAGCAGGGACGAAAGUCGGUCUUAGUGAUCUGACGGUACUGAGUGGAAAGGCCGUCACUCAACGGAUAAAAGUUACUCUAAGGAUAACAGGCUGAUCUCCCCCAAGAGUUCACAUCGACGGGGAGGUUUGGCACCUCGAUGUCGGCUCAUCGCAUCCUGGGGCGGUAGUACGUCCCAAGGGUUGGGCUGUUCGCCCAUGAAAGCGGUACGCGAGCUGGGUUCAGAACGUCGUGAGACAGUUCGGUCCAUAUCCGGUGUAGGCGUUAGAAUAUUGAGAGGAGCCUUCUUUAGUACGAGAGGACCGAGAAGGACAUACCUCUGGUGUACCAGUUAUCGUGCCAACGGUAAACGCUGGGUAGCUAUGUAUGGAGUGGAUAACCGCUGAAAGCAUCUAAGUGGGAAGCCCACCUCAAGAUAAGUAUUCUCAUC